This 393-nucleotide ribosomal RNA is filed under the name uncultured bacterium. Its description in RNAcentral is "bacterial SSU rRNA". It matches the Rfam family "Bacterial small subunit ribosomal RNA", at positions 30 to 426 of the family's 1533-position model. The record is from RNAcentral.
AUUGAACGCUGGCGGCAUGCCUUACACAUGCAAGUCGAACGGCAGCGCGGGGCAACCUGGCGGCGAGUGGCGAACGGGUGAGUAAAAUAUCGGAACAUACCCUAGAGUGGGGGAUAACGUAGCGAAAGUUACGCUAAUACCGCAUACGCACUAAGGUGGAAAGUGGGGGAUCUUCGGACCUCAUGCUCAUGGAGUGGCCGAUAUCUGAUUAGCUAGUUGGUGAGGUAAGGGCUCACCAAGGCGACGAUCCCUAGCUGGUCUGAGAGGAUAAUCAGCCACACUGGAACUGAGACACGGUCCAGACUCCUACGGAGGCAGCAGUGGGGAAUAUUGCGCAAUGGGCGAAAGCCUGACGCAGCGACGCCGCGUGGGUGAUGAAGGCCUUCGGGUCGG